AUGAAGGGCCAAUUAGCAAAGUGGCAGAUGAGAGGAGGGGAUCAAAUCCCUAGCGCAGCCUCAAUUCCCGUCGGGCCUGGCUACAUCUCCUCCUCCCCCAACCUCCUUCUCCACCUCCGGCCGCCGCCAUGGCCUGGUCGGCGUGGUAGGUGCGCCAUCCAUCUCCACCAUCUGCUUCACAGCACCACCUCCUACCACCACAUCCACCAUCAGCGCCUCCAACCAUCCAGUCAUCACCGCCGCCACCAGCGCCGCAUCUCCACCACAUCUGCAGCCCAUCGGCUGCUCCUCCUCUCUUCUCUCAAAGCCCCUGCUGCUUCUUCCUUCUCCAACCACCUGUUGCUGCCUCCUCUUCCCCAAGCCCAACUGUUGUUUCUUUCUUGUUGCGCCCCUGCUUCUUCCCCCCCCCCCCCUCCUUGCUGCUACUCCUUCCUCUCACGUCCCCUGCUGCUGCUCUUCUUCUUGCGCCGAUCUGCUGCUGCUCUGCUUCCUCCACUAAACUGCUGCGCCUCUGCUCCUUCUCUGAACCGAACUGCUGCUGCUCCCUCUCCCACGAGCCUGUUGCUGCUCUUCUCUCCCUAA
This 582-nucleotide ribosomal RNA is filed under the name Triticum aestivum (bread wheat). Its description in RNAcentral is "partial small subunit ribosomal RNA". Lineage: Eukaryota; Viridiplantae; Streptophyta; Magnoliopsida; Poales; Poaceae. The record is from RNAcentral.